This 23-nucleotide transfer RNA is filed under the name Pristimantis galdi. RNAcentral's name for it is "partial tRNA-Phe". The record is from RNAcentral. Lineage: Eukaryota; Metazoa; Chordata; Amphibia; Anura; Strabomantidae.
UGGAUUUUCAUAAAUCCCUUAAA